This 74-nucleotide microRNA precursor is filed under the name Pteropus vampyrus (large flying fox). Its description in RNAcentral is "miRNA (ENSPVAG00000027247.1)". Lineage: Eukaryota; Metazoa; Chordata; Mammalia; Chiroptera; Pteropodidae. The record is from RNAcentral.
UAUAUAUAUAUGCAUGUGUGCAUGUGUAUGUGUAUGUGUGUGUACACAUAUACUAAGUUCAUAGAUACAGAGAA